GGUGUGUACUCAUAGCAGGGGCCCAAAAUGGCCCAUUUAUUAACAGCAUACCCAAAAGCAAUCUGGGGUUAGUCUUCAUAGCAGACAAAACACAUGUCUUUUGUGGUAUCAUGUCCUGUAUAU
This is a small nucleolar RNA of Peromyscus maniculatus bairdii (prairie deer mouse), 123 nucleotides long. RefSeq annotates it as small nucleolar RNA SNORA11. The record is from RefSeq and is a predicted model, not a curated record. Lineage: Eukaryota; Metazoa; Chordata; Mammalia; Rodentia; Cricetidae.